CUCUACUCCCCUUCCUGACACCCCUUUCCGGGCCCCUGUAGGUGCGGCAACUACCCUAGGGCAAACUGUCUUAGAGACAGUCCUCAGGGAAGCUGCAGAAAAGGCCGGAGCCAAGGCCUGGAGGUGGAAGAGGGGAUGCAGACCCUCCCUGGCAACAAGAAAAGGGCAAACUCCAACCGCAGGGAGAUGAUGCCACUUGUGGGCUCUCAGAUUGGAGGGAAACGAGCUGAAUGACGGGGCCUCGCGCACAGCUCGGUGGAGGGAGAGACAGUGCGUGCGGAGGUGGAGGGGAGGGUCCUGUUGAACUCCCCACCAGCCCCUGGGAGGGGAGAUCGGAGGGUGAGCUCGGCGGUGACGCGGGGCCCUCACGUGACCGCGAGCUGCAGAGCGACGCAGCCUUCGGUGCAGUCGUCACUCCAGUCUGGGUACCAGCUCCCCGCUUCCCUGCACACGGCGGGCUGGCAUCGGGCCCCGCGGCAAGUGGAGCAGGUAAGGGCCCCGCGCACCGAAGCCAGGGCGGCAGCGGACUGCCAACCACAAAGCUGGCCUGGGGAUGGGGGAGAAAGCGGGCUCAAGUUCCCGGAACCUUCGCUCGAUUCUCCCAAUCCUUGCUCCUCCUGCCUAAGUCUGUGCUGGGGAACCCUGGGCUUUGACAGGGCGGAUGGUGGGGGGAGUGUCUCAAGAGGGAAAUGCAGAGAUUGAGAUGUUCCUUCUUCUCUGACUCUAAUCACUGAUCGCACAUGUCCGCUCCGCUUCCUGCUAGUUUCAGUGGAAGGGACACGCCGCCACGGUGGCGUUUGCAGAGAAAAUGGUGGGCCUUAGUGACUGGACGGCGGGGUUGGUGCGAGUGGCGUCUCUCAAGGUGCGGAGGGACGUUUGAUAACUGGGUUCCUGAAUCCAGAAAAGCGAGUAUUGGGAUCUGUGUCCUGGGCGCUAGUCCAAGCACUCAGUGCCUUUCCUCUCUCCUGUCUGACGACAGUGAUUCGUGUGGCAGUGUUUGUGGCGAGGCGAGGGAAGAAGAGGAGCAAACUGCACAGGAUCUGCGGAGGUCUUCCCAUAGGGCAACAGUAGGGCUCUUUACCACUGAAAGCAAAGGAAAGUGGGAGACUGGCCUGGGACUGUGGAGCUGGGUCUACAGGCCUGAAAGCUUGAGAUCACUGGAAGCAAGGAAAUACGGAGGAAAUUAUUCCUGAUCAGUAUAUGCUGGUAAGAGGAUGGGGAUUGCCUGGGUAGACAUCUAAGGUGGGUUGUUGGAGGUGAGUGUCUAUCUGGAGGUAUCCAGUGUCUAGUCUGGAGGAUACUCAGCCUUCCCCUUUUCCAGGCACUCUCCCCACCAUCCCUUCACUUACCCCACACCUUCACCUUUAUUGUGAUAACAGGGCAUGGGGUGAAUUUAAGAGGAUAGAGAGGGGUUUGUUAAUAAUAUAUGUCAUGGUAAACAAAAUCUUCACUCCUGUCUGUUCCUCCAUCUGUCUGUCUGUCUCUAGGUCCACAGAUCUCAUGAGUUUAUAGAUCUCCUUUAGGAUAUACCUCCAAUCAAGAGAAGGAAAGAGGUGGUAACUGCCUUGAUCAUUACAGGUUGGUAUGAGGGUGGGCACCUGUGGGAGUGGUGACCAGAGUAGGUCCAGUAAAAAUCAGGGUGUGAGGGCUUCAGUCUACCAUCCAUAGUCAGUGCUACCACCAUCCUUUCCACUGUUCAUUUGAUGUAAGAAAAUGUGUAUGGAAGUACCCUGGGGGAAAUUAUUGGGCACUGGGAAAAAUGGAGAGGAGAUAAAAGGGAUGGAAAGAGAAUUUGCUAAUUAUCCUCUUCUCCCACAAAACACAUCAUUUUUACACUUUCUUAUUCUUCUGUGUAUCUGUCUAUGUGAUGCACAGAAUUAGAAGAGAAACUUUAGCCAGUUUCCUUCCUCCACUUCUAGGUCCAUCUCCAGUGGCAGCUCUGGUGGCCUUUGAGUGGCUGAAGACCAGCACCCUUGCAGGCUUACAUGCAGACCUACUACCCUCUUUUCCCAGUCUAAUUGAGCCCUUCUGUAUCUUGUUCUUG
Molecule: long non-coding RNA, 2044 nt
Organism: Bos indicus x Bos taurus (hybrid cattle)
Lineage: Eukaryota; Metazoa; Chordata; Mammalia; Artiodactyla; Bovidae
Source: Ensembl